GGCCCAUUGGUCAAGUGGUCAAGACACCGCCCUUUCACGGCGAUAACAGGGGUUCGACUCCCCUAUGGGUCA
Molecule: transfer RNA, 72 nt
Filed under: Anaerobacterium chartisolvens
Lineage: Bacteria; Bacillati; Bacillota; Clostridia; Eubacteriales; Oscillospiraceae
Also listed under: 2 other names
Rfam family: tRNA
About the family: Transfer RNA (tRNA) molecules are approximately 80 nucleotides in length.
Source: Rfam by way of RNAcentral